Molecule: ribosomal RNA, 477 nt
Filed under: uncultured bacterium
Lineage: Bacteria
Description: bacterial SSU rRNA
Rfam family: Bacterial small subunit ribosomal RNA
Source: RNAcentral
UAGGACGAACGCUGGCGGCGUGCCUAACACAUGCAAGUCGAGCGAGGAGAUUCCUUCGGGAUGAUCCUAGCGGCGGACGGGUGAGUAACACGUGGGCAACCUGCCUCAUAGAGAGGAAUAGCCUUCCGAAAGGGAGAUUAAUACCUCAUAACAUUGCAGUUUCGCAUGGAACAGCAAUUAAAGGAGUAAUCCGCUAUGAGAUGGGCCCGCGGCGCAUUAGCUAGUUGGUGAGGUAACGGCUCACCAAGGCGACGAUGCGUAGCCGACCUGAGAGGGUGAUCGGCCACAUUGGGACUGAGACACGGCCCGGACUCCUACGGGAGGCAGCAGUGGGGAAUAUUGCACAAUGGGGGAAACCCUGAUGCCAGCAACGCCGCGUGAGUGAUGACGGCCUUCGGGUUGUAAAGCUCUGUCUUCAGGGACGAUAAUGACGGUACCUGAGGAGGAAGCCACGGCUAACUACGUGCCAGCCGCGGC